CACAUGCAAGUCGAGCGACAGUGCUCUUCGGGGCAUAUGGAGCGGCGAACGGGUGAGUAACACGUGGGCAACCUGCCCUCAGCUCUGGGACAACUCCGGGAAACCGGGGCUAAUACCGGACAUGACAGUGUCCUGCAUGGGGUGCUGUGGAAAGUUUUUCGGCUGAGGAUGGGCCCGCGGCCUAUCAGCUUGUUGGUGGGGUGAUGGCCUACCAGGGCGACGACGGGUAGCCGGCCUGAGAGGGCGACCGGCCACACUGGGACUGAGACACGGCCCAGACUCCUACGGGAGGCAGCAGUGGGGAAUAUUGCGCAAUGGGCGGAAGCCUGACGCAGCGACGCCGCGUGAGGGAUGAAGGCCUUCGGGUUGUAAACCUCUUUCAGCAGGGACGAAGCGGAAGUGACGGU
RNAcentral lists this ribosomal RNA (407 nucleotides) under uncultured bacterium. RNAcentral describes it as "bacterial SSU rRNA". It matches the Rfam family "Bacterial small subunit ribosomal RNA", at positions 52 to 476 of the family's 1533-position model. The record is from RNAcentral.